CACUGGUCCUUGAUGUGUAGGAUAGGUGGGAGGCUUUGAAGUGUGGACGCCAGUCUGCAUGGAGCCGUCCUUGAAAUACCACCCUUUAAUGGCUGGUGUUCUAACGUAGACCCGUAAUCCGGGUUGCGGACAGUGUCUGGUGGGUAGUUUGACUGGGGCGGUCUCCUCCCAAAGAGUAACGGAGGAGCACGAAGGUUAGCUAAUCCUGGUCGGACAUCAGGAGGUUAGUGC
RNAcentral lists this ribosomal RNA (231 nucleotides) under Enterobacter sp. EC_62. RNAcentral describes it as "partial 23S ribosomal RNA". It matches the Rfam family "Bacterial large subunit ribosomal RNA", at positions 2122 to 2352 of the family's 2925-position model. Lineage: Bacteria; Pseudomonadati; Pseudomonadota; Gammaproteobacteria; Enterobacterales; Enterobacteriaceae. The record is from RNAcentral.